GUCUCUUCGGAGACAACUAAUAAAAUUAGAAUGAUACUGAGAAGAUUAGCCUGGUACUUGUGCAAGGAUGACAUGUACAAAACAAGAAAUGGUCCAAUUUUUU
Small nuclear RNA from Dendrobium catenatum, 103 nucleotides. Lineage: Eukaryota; Viridiplantae; Streptophyta; Magnoliopsida; Asparagales; Orchidaceae. The record is from RefSeq and is a predicted model, not a curated record.